GAAGGGUGCAAGCGUUACUCGGAAUUACUGGGCGUAAAGCGUGCGUAGGUGGUUUGUUAAGUCUGAUGUGAAAGCCCUGGGCUCAACCUGGGAAUGGCAUUGGAUACUGGCGAGCUAGAGUGCGGUAGAGGGGUGUGGAAUUCCCGGUGUAGCAGUGAAAUGCGCAGAGAUCGGGAGGAACAUCUGAGGCGAAGGCGACACCCUGGACCAGCACUGACACUGAGGCACGAAAGCGUGGGGAGCAAACAGGAUUAGAUACCCUGGUAGUCCACGCCCUAAACGAUGCGAACUGGAUGUUGGGAGCAAUUAGGCUCUCAGUAUCGAAGCUAACGCGUUAAGUUCGCCGCCUGGGGAGUACGGUCGCAAGACUG
Molecule: ribosomal RNA, 371 nt
Filed under: uncultured bacterium
Lineage: Bacteria
Description: bacterial SSU rRNA
Rfam family: Bacterial small subunit ribosomal RNA
Source: RNAcentral